This 804-nucleotide ribosomal RNA is filed under the name uncultured archaeon. Its description in RNAcentral is "bacterial SSU rRNA". It matches the Rfam family "Archaeal small subunit ribosomal RNA", at positions 124 to 914 of the family's 1478-position model. The record is from RNAcentral.
AAAUAAUCCCGGGAAACUGGGGCUAAUACGCGAUAGAUUCAAAGUUCUGGAAUGGCUUUGAAUCCAAAGGGCUGAAGGAGCAUGCUUCUUCAGUCGCUUCAAGAUGGGACUGCGGCCGAUCAGGUAGUUGGCGGGGUAAUGGCCCACCAAGCCUAUAACCGGUGCGGGCUCUGAGAGGAGGAGCCCGGAGAUGGACACUGAGACAAGGGUCCAGGCCCUACGGGGUGCAGCAGGCGCGAAACCUUCACAAUGCGCGAAAGCGCGAUGAGGCUAUACCGAGUGUCAUCCGCUGAGGGUGACUUUUCCUCGAUCUAAAACAUCGAGGGAAUAAGGGGAGGGCAAGCCUGGUGUCAGCCGCCGCGGUAAUACCAGCUCCCCGAGUGGUCGGGACGAUUAUUGGGCCUAAAGCAUCCGUAGCCGGCUUCACAGGUCUCUUGUUAAAUCCAACGGCUCAACCGUUGGACUGCAGGGGAUACCAUGGAGCUAGGGGGCGGGAGAGGCGGACGGUACUCCAUGGGUAGGGGUAAAAUCCUUUGAUCCAUGGAAGACCACCAGUGGCGAAGGCGGUCCGCUAGAACGCGCCCGACGGUGAGGGAUGAAAGCUGGGGGAGCGAACCGGAUUAGAUACCCGGGUAGUCCCAGCUGUAAACGAUACGGAUUGGGUGCCGGUACCGCUUCGGGCCGUAUCGGUGCCUCAGGGAAGCCGUUAAUCCCGCCGCUUGGGGAGUACGGUCGCAAGACUGAAACUAAAGGAUUUGGCGGGGGAGCACCACAAGGGGUGAAGCCUGCGGUCAAUUGGAGUCA